RNAcentral lists this ribosomal RNA (463 nucleotides) under uncultured bacterium. Its description in RNAcentral is "partial 16S ribosomal RNA". It matches the Rfam family "Bacterial small subunit ribosomal RNA", at positions 28 to 507 of the family's 1533-position model. The record is from RNAcentral.
GAUGAACGCUGACAGAAUGCUUAACACAUGCAAGUCGAUGGGGAAGUGGUGCUUGCACCAUGGCAACCAUGGCGGACGGGUGAGUAACGCGUAAGGGACUUACCUGCAGGACUGGGAUAACAGGGGGAAACUCCUGACAAGACCGGAUAAUGUCAUGGAGCUGCAUGGCUUUAUGAUGAAAGGAGACGCCUGCGGAGAGCCUUGCGUCCUAUUAGCUAGUUGGUGAGGUAAUGGCUCACCAAGGCGAAGAUAGGUAGCCGGCCUGAGAGGGUGGACGGCCACAAGGGGACUGAGAUACGGCCCUUACUCCUACGGGAGGCAGCAGUGGGGAAUAUUGGACAAUGGGGGCAACCCUGAUCCAGCAAUUCUGUGUGCACGAAGAAGGUUUUCGGAUUGUAAAGUGCUUUGAGCAGGGAAGAAGUAAGUGACGGUACCUGCAGAAGAAGCGACGGCUAAAUACGUG